ACUCCUCUUUCUUGAAUUUUGUUUCAGCAUCUUCAAGGUCUCGAUAAUUAUUCACUUUAAAAAUUUAUUCGAUUCCAAACCUGCUGAGCAUCCGAAAUGGCACCUCAAUUGUUUUUCACAACAUUUGCAAUCAUCUUUCAACGCAGAUAGAGCUUAAGGGUGAGUCCUGCCUAUAUUUCUGGGGUAAACUCAAAGGACUUAGAGUAAAACCUCCUACCUUCUGAGCUUCUCGGGAGCUGAUGCCGAUGCAAUAUAUUGGAAUGCUACGUUGUAUCGGGAUGUGUCGCAAAAUAAUGUUCUACAGAAGGUAUCGGGAGUCUUAUGCCAGGACGUGGAUGCCUCUAAUCACGACAAAACCUCCUCCAUCAAUACCCAUGACACGUGCGUGAUAGUUUGGGCAGAGCCUGGUUGUAAAGGGAACCACAAGAAGAUACAACCUGGCACUCCACAUCAUGACGAUUUUGAACAGCUCGGGUUCAACGAUGUCUUGUCAUCCGUUGGGCCUUGUUGAAAAGGGAAAGGAAAUUGUCGUGGAUUUGAUAGCUCGCUGAAAAAAAAAAUCGACUCUUUUCAACAGAGACAACUGUUUUCUUUGACAGCAUCCUGUUGCGCUGAAAUAAUGCUCCUUUAUUUCGUCAAAUAUCGCCCGGGGGUUCAAAUAUUUAUUGCCUUUCAAAAGGACGAACUCCAAAAUGUAUGAGACAGCCAAGGAUUAUUUUAAUUAUAUUAAAACCAAUCACAAGAAGAGUGGGUACUGAUUAAAAUAUUAUUGUUCUUGUACUACUUCAGGUCAAUAUAGGAAGUGAAACGCCGAACAAAACAAACUUUGUGUUGAUCGUGUUACAGUUUGCGGUGAAUUUAGCGCAGGAAACAGUGGAAGGGUUGGGUAAAUCAGUGGCGUGGCGUGAAUUGCGAUUUAUCGAUUGAGCUGUCAUUUAAACCUAUGAAAAAACUAAAAAGAUCGAUUAUCAGGGUGUUUGCAGCGAACACCUUAAUAAUCGAUUCUUUACCAUGGCUUCAAAUGGCGAGAUAUCGAUAAUCGAUUAUUCACGCCACGCCUCUGUGGUAAAUGUAUUCCUCCGAAUGGAGCAUCGGCAUUCACCGCAAUAAGACUAGUUGGAUUCGAUUUUGCAAUAAGGAACCACUAUUUCUAGCUCAUUUUAGAAACAACAUAUGUGUGGUUUCCCUAUGCGGAUAUGCGUUUUUAUGAAAGAGCCAGAGAUAGUGGUUCCUUAUUGCAAAAUGUAAUCCAGUUGGUAUUUUCUCUGGAAAGUGUCAACCGAAGUCUAGGGUUAUUUAGUCUUUUAUUUCCGUAUUAACCAAACUUUUGUGUUGCAAUUUCUCUCCGUGCACAGUUACAACCAAGAACGACAACGCCCAAAAAUAGUGGUAAAAAAUCAGUGGCGUGGCGUGAAUUGCGAUGUAUCGAUUGUUAUUCCAUUUAAACCCAUGGUAAAUAAUCAAUUAUCAAGGUCUUCGCUGCGAACACCCUGUCUAUCGAUCCUUUUCCAUGAGUUUAAAUGGCAUAACAAUCGAUUUAUUGCAAAGCACGCCACGCCACUGUAAAAAAUAGAAUAAUAUAACGACGAAUGUCGUAUCUUAGCCUGCAAUUAUUUUUUGAAUCAUUAGCAAUGAUUAAGUGGAAAUUUAUUCAAUGGGAAUAAUUGUUAAAAACUAGUGUGAUGUUCUUUUUCCUCUUCGUGCGAAAAAAAA
RNAcentral lists this long non-coding RNA (1713 nucleotides) under Bemisia tabaci. RNAcentral describes it as "lncRNA ENSASIAIIG005717". Lineage: Eukaryota; Metazoa; Arthropoda; Insecta; Hemiptera; Aleyrodidae. The record is from RNAcentral.